RNAcentral lists this ribosomal RNA (489 nucleotides) under uncultured bacterium. RNAcentral's name for it is "partial 16S ribosomal RNA". It matches the Rfam family "Bacterial small subunit ribosomal RNA", at positions 30 to 506 of the family's 1533-position model. The record is from RNAcentral.
AUUGAACGCUGGCGGCAGGCCUAACACAUGCAAGUCGAACGGUAACAGGAAACAGCUUGCUGUUUCGCUGACGAGUGGCGGACGGGUGAGUAAUGUCUGGGAAACUGCCUGAUGGAGGGGGAUAACUACUGGAAACGGUAGCUAAUACCGCAUAACGUCGCAAGACCAAAGAGGGGGACCUUCGGGCCUCUUGCCAUCGGAUGUGCCCAGAUGGGAUUAGCUAGUAGGUGGGGUAACGGCUCACCUAGGCGACGAUCCCUAGCUGGUCUGAGAGGAUGACCAGCCACACUGGAACUGAGACACGGUCCAGACUCCUACGGGAGGCAGCAGUGGGGAAUAUUGCACAAUGGGCGCAAGCCUGAUGCAGCCAUGCCGCGUGUAUGAAGAAGGCCUUCGGGUUGUAAAGUACUUUCAGCGGGGAGGAAGGGAGUAAAGUUAAUACCUUUGCUCAUUGACGUUACCCGCAGAAGAAGCACCGGCUAACUCCGU